CUCCCAUUUCUGUCUCUCUCCUCCCUCCCGUGGUUCUCUCUUUCUCUCUCUUCGGCUCACCUCUGCAACUCCGUCGUCCGACCACCUGGGGACGAGCCGCGGCCACCAUUCGCUUCCUCUCCCUUUCGUCGACUCGCCUGAGGUGGUGGAACACCGUGCCGUGGACGGAAAACGAGGAACCAUGGCCUUAAAGUUUACUGUAGCAAAAUGGGUCAACGCCGAGUUCUCCAGAUUCCGGCCACCAAAACCGGCCAAACUUGGCCAAUCAGAAGCGGCUUGAGACGUAGAUCAUCCUCCCCAAAGCUUUUGCUGAGAAUUGAAGCAUGGAGGAAGAAAGCAUAAUUGGAAAAUUUCACAGUACUUCGGAGUGCUUAAUUGUUCGGCCACUUCAAGGACGACGUACCGAGCUACUGCUCGACGAAGGAAACCGUUUGUGUUGUCGCCUAAACAGUACUUUUGCAGGCCAGUUUAGCUUGAGGUCGAGCGUACAUGAAGUUGAGGCAUAGCUGUCAUAGCUUCCGCAUUAUAAAAAGUAUCGAUAAUUUAUCUUGUAUUUUAUCCUCUUGUACACCCUGUACAUUAGAUUGCUCUGAUAACCCAUGAG
Long non-coding RNA from Rosa rugosa (rugosa rose), 604 nucleotides. RefSeq lists it as uncharacterized. The record is from RefSeq and is a predicted model, not a curated record. The transcript has 3 exons. Lineage: Eukaryota; Viridiplantae; Streptophyta; Magnoliopsida; Rosales; Rosaceae.